Molecule: ribosomal RNA, 609 nt
Filed under: Cyclobacterium marinum
Lineage: Bacteria; Pseudomonadati; Bacteroidota; Cytophagia; Cytophagales; Cyclobacteriaceae
Description: bacterial SSU rRNA
Rfam family: Bacterial small subunit ribosomal RNA
Source: RNAcentral
CACAAGCGGUGGAGCAUGUGGUUUAAUUCGAUGCAACGCGAAGAACCUUACCAGGUCUUGACAUCCUCGGAACUUGGCAGAGAUGCCUUGGUGCCUUCGGGAGCCGAGUGACAGGUGCUGCAUGGCCGUCGUCAGCUCGUGUCGUGAGAUGUUGGGUUAAGUCCCGUAACGAGCGCAACCCUUGUCCUUAGUUGCCAGCACGUCAUGGUGGGAACUCUAGGGAGACUGCCGGUGACAAACCGGAGGAAGGUGGGGACGACGUCAGGUCAUCAUGGCCCUUACGACCUGGGCUACACACGUGCUACAAUGGCUGGUACAGAGGGUUGCUAAGUCGCGAGGCGGAGCUAAUCCCUUAAAGCCAGUCGUAGUCCGGAUCGGAGUCUGCAACUCGACUCCGUGAAGUCGGAAUCGCUAGUAAUCGCGGAUCAGAAUGCCGCGGUGAAUACGUUCCCGGACCUUGUACACACCGCCCGUCACACCAUGGGAGUGGAUUGCACCAGAAGUGGCUAGUCUAACUACGGAGGACGGUCACCACGGUGUGGUUCAUGACUGGGGUGAAGUCGUAACAAGGUAGCCGUAGGGGAACCUGCGGCUGGAUCACCUCCUUAA